This 317-nucleotide ribosomal RNA is filed under the name uncultured eukaryote. Its description in RNAcentral is "partial large subunit ribosomal RNA". It matches the Rfam family "Eukaryotic large subunit ribosomal RNA", at positions 40 to 350 of the family's 3401-position model. The record is from RNAcentral.
AUAUUAAUAAGCGGAGGAAAAGAAACUAACAAGGAUUCCCCCAGUAAGGGCGACUGAACGGGGAAGAGCCCAGCACCGAAUCCUGCAGCGUCUCGUUGUUAGGAAAUGUGGUGUUUAGGCAAGCCUAUCCUGCACUUUGAGACAGUCAAAGUCCCCUUGAGGGGGGCCAUCGCCCAGAGCGGGUGCAAGGCCCAUACGACGUCCUUUGUGUUGGUUUGAGCUGCCGUGGAGUCGGGUUGCUUGAGAGUGCAGCCCAAAGUUGGUGGUAAACCCCAUCUAAGGCUAAAUAUGACCACGAGACCGAUAGCGCACAAGUA